Molecule: ribosomal RNA, 253 nt
Filed under: uncultured bacterium
Lineage: Bacteria
Description: partial 16S ribosomal RNA
Rfam family: Bacterial small subunit ribosomal RNA
Source: RNAcentral
UACGUAGGGGGCUAGCGUUGUCCGGAAUCAUUGGGCGUAAAGCGCGUGUAGGCGGUCCGGUAAGUCCGCUGUGAAAGUCGGGGGCUCAACCCUCGAAUGCCGGUGGAUACUGUCGGGCUAGAGUGCGGAAGAGGCGAGUGGAAUUCCUGGUGUAGCGGUGAAAUGCGCAGAUAUCAGGAGGAACACCAAUUGCGAAGGCAGCUCGCUGGGACGUAACUGACACUGAGGCGCGAAAGCGUGGGGAGCGAACAGG